This 72-nucleotide transfer RNA is filed under the name Dipodomys ordii (Ord's kangaroo rat). It matches the Rfam family "tRNA". From Rfam's summary of the family: Transfer RNA (tRNA) molecules are approximately 80 nucleotides in length. The record is from Rfam by way of RNAcentral. Lineage: Eukaryota; Metazoa; Chordata; Mammalia; Rodentia; Heteromyidae.
GGGAAGGUGGCUCAAUGUUAGUGUGCUUGCCUUGCAUGCAUGAGGUCUUGGGUUCGAUUCCUUUUUUUUUUU